RNAcentral lists this ribosomal RNA (426 nucleotides) under uncultured bacterium. RNAcentral describes it as "bacterial SSU rRNA". It matches the Rfam family "Bacterial small subunit ribosomal RNA", at positions 355 to 773 of the family's 1533-position model. The record is from RNAcentral.
UGGGGAAUUUUGGACAAUGGGCGCAAGCCUGAUCCAGCCAUGCCGCGUGCAGGAUGAAGGCCUUCGGGUUGUAAACUGCUUUUGUACGGAACGAAAAGGUGCCUUCUAAUAAAGGGCGCUCAUGACGGUACCGUAAGAAUAAGCACCGGCUAACUACGUGCCAGCAGCCGCGGUAAUACGUAGGGUGCGAGCGUUAAUCGGAAUUACUGGACGUAAAGCGUGCGCAGGCGGCUUUGUAAGACAGAGGUGAAAUCCCCGGGCUCAACCUGGGAACUGCCUUUGUGACUGCAAGGCUGGAGUGCGGCAGAGGGGGAUGGAAUUCCGCGUGUAGCAGUGAAAUGCGUAGAUAUGCGGAGGAACACCGAUGGCGAAGGCAAUCCCCUGGGCCUGCACUGACGCUCAUGCACGAAAGCGUGGGGAGCAAAC